AGCAAUGUCUGGAUAAAUCUUGGUACCCAAACGUAACAGAGUAUCGGUGUGUUGUAACAACAAUGGCCUAUGUGAUGAAUACAAAGGAUGGAAAGAUUUAUAGGAACUGAUGGAGAAUGGAAUAAGCAGAGCCAAGAAAACGAGGCCCGGGGACUACACCAAUGUCAACGGAAAGCACCAGCAGACACGGAAAAGAAUGAGAAAGGGAAUUAACAAGAUCAUCGCCAUAAAGCUCCAUCUGAAAGAAGGGAUGUGAGGGCCCCAAUCCAUCCCUUCUUCACGUGACAACGCAGCCACUUAGGGGUCCAGUCCCAGGCCAGCAUCCCCUCCCGGCCCGUCUCCUCCUUCUCCCUCUCCACCAGGAGGCAGCCCGGACCUUUGAUGGCGUCACCUCUAGCCUGCACCGGGUCCGAGGACCACUGUCAGCUUGUCCCGGAGCUUGGAAAGGGAGUGUCCUUGCCUGGCACCCGCAGGGGCCGAGCCGCGUCACCCCGAUCAUUUUCCCUGGGCUGGAUGCUCCCAGUCUGUACCAGGAGGCUGUAUUUAAAAGUGCAAGGAGGGAAAGCGCUCUGGCCGGGGGGAUCCUUGUUUUGUGUCUGUGCGCGCUUUAAAGAUUACGGAGAGACAGCGAGACCCACUGGCCUUGACGGUUAUAAGAUACAGGGGGAGGAAGACCUAACUGAGGGACCCCGCUCUGAAGGAUUCUAACCUAGAGACUCGGCCCCAGCGUCUCCCCCAAUUCAGAGCCUUCCUCCUUCCUGUCUCCAUUAUUUUGAGCUAUUACUUGGAGAAGGGGUGUGUGCGUAUGUGCUUGGUGCCUGAUGAAAGCAAAAAAAAAAAAAAAAAAAAAAAAAAAAAA
Molecule: long non-coding RNA, 859 nt
Organism: Sarcophilus harrisii (Tasmanian devil)
Lineage: Eukaryota; Metazoa; Chordata; Mammalia; Dasyuromorphia; Dasyuridae
Exons: 2
Source: RefSeq, a predicted model, not a curated record